CGGGGCGUAGCGCAGCCUGGUAGCGCACCUGCUUUGGGAGCAGGGAGUCGGAGGUUCAAAUCCUCUCGCCCCGA
Molecule: transfer RNA, 74 nt
Filed under: Acidobacteriota bacterium
Lineage: Bacteria; Pseudomonadati; Acidobacteriota
Also listed under: 3 other names
Description: Acidobacteria bacterium (hot springs metagenome) tRNA-Pro
Rfam family: tRNA
About the family: Transfer RNA (tRNA) molecules are approximately 80 nucleotides in length. Their secondary structure includes four short double-helical elements and three loops (D, anti-codon, and T loops).
Source: RNAcentral